This is a transfer RNA of Ovis aries (sheep), 73 nucleotides long. It matches the Rfam family "tRNA". Rfam says of the family: Transfer RNA (tRNA) molecules are approximately 80 nucleotides in length. Their secondary structure includes four short double-helical elements and three loops (D, anti-codon, and T loops). Further hydrogen bonds mediate the characteristic L-shaped molecular structure. tRNAs have two regions of fundamental functional importance: the anti-codon, which is responsible for specific mRNA codon recognition, and the 3' end, to which the tRNAs corresponding amino acid is attached (by aminoacyl-tRNA synthetases). tRNAs cope with the degeneracy of the genetic code in two manners: having more than one tRNA (with a specific anti-codon) for a particular amino acid; and 'wobble' base-pairing, i.e. permitting non-standard base-pairing at the 3rd anti-codon position. The record is from Rfam. NCBI's taxonomy places the organism in Eukaryota, Metazoa, Chordata, Mammalia, Artiodactyla, Bovidae.
UCCCUGGUGAUUCAGUGGUUAAGACUCUGCACUUCCAAUGCAAAGGGUACAGGUUCGAUCCCUGGUUGGGGGA